This 253-nucleotide ribosomal RNA is filed under the name uncultured bacterium. RNAcentral describes it as "partial 16S ribosomal RNA". It matches the Rfam family "Bacterial small subunit ribosomal RNA", at positions 524 to 776 of the family's 1533-position model. The record is from RNAcentral.
UACAGAGGGGGCAAGCGUUGUUCGGAAUUAUUGGGCGUAAAGAGCGUGUAGGCGGUUUGUUAAGUCUGAUGUGAAAGCCCUGGGCUCAACCCAGGAAGUGCAUUGGAAACUGGCAGACUUGAAUACGGGAGAGGGCAGUGGAAUUCCUAGUGUAGGAGUGAAAUCCGUAGAUAUUAGGAGGAACACCGGUGGCGAAGGCGGCUGCCUGGACCGAUAUUGACGCUGAGACGCGAAAGCGUGGGUAGCAAACAGG